GAUGAACGCUGGCGGCGUGCCUAAUACAUGCCAGUCGAGCGAACGGACGAGAAGCUUGCUUCUCUGAUGUUAGCGGCGGACGGGUGAGUAACACGUAGAUAACCUACCUAUUAGACUGGGAUAACUUCGGGAAACCGUAGCUAAUACCGCAUAACAUUUUGAACCGCAUGAUUCCAAAGUAAAAGACGCUCUUGCUGUCCCUUAUAGAUGGAUCCGCGUUGCUUUAGUGAGUUGGUAAGGUAACGCCUUACCAAGCCAACGAAGCAUAGCCGACCUGAGAGGGUGAUCGGCCAAACUGGAACUGAAACCCGGUCCAGACUCCUACGGGGGCCGGAAGAGGGGAAUCUUGCGAAUUGAGCGAAGGCCUGACGGGGAAACGCCGCGUGAGUGAGGAGGGUCUUCGAAUGUUAAACCUUGUUUAUUAGGGAAGACGAUAGGGGUAAGUGAAUGUGCACACCGUGACGGUACCUAAUCAGAAAGCCACGGCUAACUACGUG
Molecule: ribosomal RNA, 497 nt
Filed under: uncultured bacterium
Lineage: Bacteria
Description: partial 16S ribosomal RNA
Rfam family: Bacterial small subunit ribosomal RNA
Source: RNAcentral